RNAcentral lists this ribosomal RNA (425 nucleotides) under uncultured bacterium. RNAcentral's name for it is "bacterial SSU rRNA". It matches the Rfam family "Bacterial small subunit ribosomal RNA", at positions 359 to 776 of the family's 1533-position model. The record is from RNAcentral.
GAAUAUUGGACAAUGGGCGCAAGCCUGAUCCAGCCAUGCCGCGUGUGUGAAGAAGGCCUUCGGGUUGUAAAGCACUUUUGUACGGGAAGAAAAGCUUUCGGUUAAUACCCGGGAGUCAUGACGGUACCGUAAGAAUAAGCACCGGCUAACUUCGUCCCAGCAGCCGCGGUAAUACGAAGGGUGCAAGCGUUACUCGGAAUUACUGGGCGUAAAGCGUGCGUAGGUGGUUUGUUAAGUCAGAUGUGAAAUCCCCGGGCUCAACCUGGGAAUGGCAUUUGAGACUGGCAGGCUAGAGUGUGGUAGAGGUGAGUGGAAUUUCAGGUGUAGCGGUGAAAUGCGUAGAGAUCUGAAGGAACAUCAGUGGCGAAGGCGACUCACUGGGCCAUUACUGACGCUGAGGUGCGAAAGCGUGGGGAGCAAACAGG